GGACUACGCAUGUAGAUCACGUUGCAGAGGGCUUGCGGACGCGGGUUCGAUUCCCGCCGCCUCCACCA
RNAcentral lists this transfer-messenger RNA (68 nucleotides) under Zoogloeaceae bacterium. Its description in RNAcentral is "partial transfer-messenger RNA". It matches the Rfam family "transfer-messenger RNA", at positions 305 to 374 of the family's 374-position model. Rfam says of the family: Bacterial tmRNA, also known as 10Sa RNA or SsrA, is named for its dual tRNA and mRNA-like properties. Its role is to liberate the mRNA from a stalled ribosome. Lineage: Bacteria; Pseudomonadati; Pseudomonadota; Betaproteobacteria; Rhodocyclales; Zoogloeaceae. The record is from RNAcentral.